RNAcentral lists this transfer RNA (81 nucleotides) under Luteolibacter algae. Its description in RNAcentral is "tRNA-Leu". It matches the Rfam family "tRNA". Rfam says of the family: Transfer RNA (tRNA) molecules are approximately 80 nucleotides in length. The record is from RNAcentral. Lineage: Bacteria; Pseudomonadati; Verrucomicrobiota; Verrucomicrobiia; Verrucomicrobiales; Verrucomicrobiaceae. RNAcentral also lists the same sequence under 4 other names.
GGCGGCUUGGCGGAAUUGGUAGACGCGCUCGACUCAAAAUCGAGUUCCUUGUGAGUGUGGGUUCGAUUCCCACAGCCGCUA